RNAcentral lists this ribosomal RNA (484 nucleotides) under uncultured bacterium. RNAcentral's name for it is "partial 16S ribosomal RNA". It matches the Rfam family "Bacterial small subunit ribosomal RNA", at positions 28 to 508 of the family's 1533-position model. The record is from RNAcentral.
AUUGAACGCUGGCGGCAUGCUUUACACAUGCAAGUCGAACGGCAGCGCGGGCUUCGGCCUGGCGGCGAGUGGCGAACGGGUGAGUAAUGCAUCGGAACGUGCCCAGUAGUGGGGGAUAGCCCGGCGAAAGCCGGAUUAAUACCGCAUACGACCUGAGGGUGAAAGCGGGGGACCGAAAGGCCUCGCGCUAUUGGAGCGGCCGAUGUCGGAUUAGCUAGUUGGUGGGGUAAAGGCUUACCAAGGCGACGAUCCGUAGCUGGUCUGAGAGGACGACCAGCCACACGGGGCCAGGAACCCGGCCCAGCCUCCGCGGGGAGGCGGAGGGGGGGAUUUUUGGAAAAUGGGGACAACCCUGACCCGGCCUGCCGGCGGGCGGAAAGAGGCCCUCGGGGUUGAACACGGUUUUUGUGGGGAAAGAAAUCUUUUGGGCUAACCCCCGGGGGGGAGGCGGGUCCGGAAAAAAGAGGCCCGGACUACCUAGGGC